AGCCACAUGAAUAUAUAUUUGGUUUUUCCUGCCCGGUGAUAAUUAAACGGCCGCAGUACUUUGACUGUGCUAAGGUAGCAUAAUCAAUUGACUUUUAAUUGAAGUCUGGAAUGAAUGGGAUCAUGGGGGGUGACUGUCUUAAAGAGAAUUUUCAUAAAUUAUUUCUAAGGUGAAAAUACCUUAAUUUAUAAAAAAGACGAGAAGACCCUUAGAGUUUUUUUGUUGGGGUGACAAAUAAACUAACUUUAUUUUGUGAAAGACUAAACUACCUUAGGGAUAACAGCAUAAUCUUUUUUAAGGAUUGUGACCUCGAUGUUGGACUAGGAGUUUUAUAGUAAGAAACUAAAAAAAUAAGUUCUGUUCGAACAUUAUCUCCU
Molecule: ribosomal RNA, 377 nt
Filed under: Haploptychius sp. 7 TS-2020
Lineage: Eukaryota; Metazoa; Mollusca; Gastropoda; Stylommatophora; Streptaxidae
Description: partial large subunit ribosomal RNA
Rfam family: Bacterial large subunit ribosomal RNA
Source: RNAcentral